This 674-nucleotide long non-coding RNA is filed under the name Anser brachyrhynchus (Pink-footed goose). Its description in RNAcentral is "lncRNA (ENSABRG00000013036.1)". The record is from RNAcentral. Lineage: Eukaryota; Metazoa; Chordata; Aves; Anseriformes; Anatidae.
UCUGAACAGGAUAAAUAGCUGAUCCCUGUGUCAUUGCGGAUAUAUUUAUGUUAGUUUUCAGUUUAGAUCAUGAGAAUUAUGUGAUUAUCUUUAGUUAAAGGAAGUUCUUCAGAGCAAGUCGUCCAAGAAACACCUCUCUCUUUUCUCAAGCAAAUUAUGUUAGCAGUGCUAGACACUGCUGCACAUGGAUGGGAGCUAGGGGAGAGGAAGAACAGGAGCAGUGCUUUGAAUCAGCUAGAAUUGAUUGCAUGUAGAGCUAUCAGGACUUUCCCAGUGUCUACAGAUGUGCAGCAAACCAAAUCACCAGAAUAUGAUUAUUUUUGUCCUAUCCAAGUUUAUCAUUUGAGAAAACAAAGGAGAAGAAGAACAGAAAUGUUAAGGGUUUCAGAGAAUACCUUUGAAGCUGAGAAGAACAUUCUUCCUAACAUCAGUGUCACCAUGGAACAAUUCCUGGAGUUGACCCUAGCACCCUCUUCUGUCAUAACCUAUUCAGGAGAAAAGGAGGUAAAGAUCUUCUGAGCAUCAUGAGAUGACACUGGAAUCAUGACCCUUAGGUAUUCCAUCAGAGAUUUAAAGACGAAUCCUUUGACUUUCCCCCCCAAAACAACAUCUCAGGAAGUAGACCAGAUGUAAGUUUAAAGUAAAUCAAAGAUAUAAAAGCAUUCAAAAGGGAG